AAUAUUGGUCAAUGGACGCAAGUCUGAACCAGCCAUGCCGCGUGCGGGAUGAAGGNCCNNUGGGUNGNAAACCGCUUUUACACNNNNNCAACCGCAGCUACGUGUAGCUGCCUGCGCGUACCGUGGGAAUAAGGAUCGGCUAACUCCGUGCCAGCAGCCGCGGUAAUACGGAGGAUCCAAGCGUUAUCCGGAAUCAUUGGGUUUAAAGGGUCCGUAGGCGGACUUAUAAGUCAGCGGUGAAAGUUUUUGGCUUAACCAAAAAAUUGCCGUUGAUACUGUAGGGCUUGAAUUUUUGUGAAGUAACUAGAAUAUGUAGUGUAGCGGUGAAAUGCUUAGAUAUUACAUGGAAUACCAAUUGCGAAGGCAGGUUACUAACAAACGAUUGACGCUGAUGGACGAAAGCGUGGGUAGCGAACAG
This 418-nucleotide ribosomal RNA is filed under the name uncultured bacterium. RNAcentral describes it as "partial 16S ribosomal RNA". It matches the Rfam family "Bacterial small subunit ribosomal RNA", at positions 360 to 775 of the family's 1533-position model. The record is from RNAcentral.